Molecule: ribosomal RNA, 429 nt
Filed under: uncultured archaeon
Lineage: Archaea
Description: bacterial SSU rRNA
Rfam family: Archaeal small subunit ribosomal RNA
Source: RNAcentral
UACCAGCUCUCCGAGUGGUAGGGAUGAUUAUUGGGCUUAAAGCGUCCGUAGCCGGCUUAGCAAGUCUCCUGUUAAAUUCAGCGACCUAAUCGUCGAGCCGCGGGAGAUACUACUAGGCUAGGAGGCGGGAGAGGUCAACGGUACUUCCGGGGUAGGGGUGGAAUCCUAUAAUCCCGGGAGGACCACCAGUGGCGAAGGCUGUAGACUAGAACGCGCUCGACGGUGAGGGACGAAAGCUGGGGGAGCGAACCGGAUUAGAUACCCGGGUAGUCCCAGCUGUAAACGAUGCGAGCUAGGUGUUGGGGUGGCUACGUGCCACUUCAGUGCCGCAGGGAAGCCAUUAAGCUCGCCGCCUGGGGAGUACGGCCGCAAGGCUGAAACUUAAAGGAAUUGGCGGGGGAGCACCACAAGGCGUGAAGCUUGCGGUUC